Molecule: ribosomal RNA, 1392 nt
Filed under: Bacillus cereus group sp. N21
Lineage: Bacteria; Bacillati; Bacillota; Bacilli; Caryophanales; Bacillaceae
Description: partial 23S ribosomal RNA
Rfam family: Bacterial large subunit ribosomal RNA
Source: RNAcentral
GCGAGCGAAACGGAAUCUAGCCCAAACCAAGAGGCUUGCCUCUUGGGGUUGUAGGACAUUCUAUACGGAGUUACAAAAGAACGUGGUAGACGAAGUAGUCUGGAAAGGCUCGUCACAGAAGGUAACAACCCUGUAGUCGAAACUUCGUUCUCUCUUGAAUGUAUCCUGAGUACGGCGGAACACGUGAAAUUCCGUCGGAAUCCGGGAGGACCAUCUCCCAAGGCUAAAUACUCCCUAGUGAUCGAUAGUGAACCAGUACCGUGAGGGAAAGGUGAAAAGCACCCCGGAAGGGGAGUGAAAGAGCUCCUGAAACCGUGUGCCUACAAAUAGUCAGAGCCCGUUAAUGGGUGAUGGCGUGCCUUUUGUAGAAUGAACCGGCGAGUUACGAUCCCGUGCAAGGUUAAGCUGAAGAGGCGGAGCCGUAGCGAAAGCGAGUCUGAAUAGGGCGUUUAGUACGUGGUCGUAGACCCGAAACCAGGUGAUCUACCCAUGUCCAGGGUGAAGUUCAGGUAACACUGAAUGGAGGCCCGAACCCACGCACGUUGAAAAGUGCGGGGAUGAGGUGUGGGUAGCGGAGAAAUUCCAAUCGAACCUGGAGAUAGCUGGUUCUCCCCGAAAUAGCUUUAGGGCUAGCCUCAAGUGUUAGAGUCUUGGAGGUAGAGCACUGAUUGAACUAGGGGUCCUCAUCGGAUUACCGAAUUCAGUCAAACUCCGAAUGCCAAUGACUUAUCCUUAGGAGUCAGACUGCGAGUGAUAAGAUCCGUAGUCAAGAGGGAAACAGCCCAGAUCGCCAGCUAAGGUCCCAAAGUGUGUAUUAAGUGGAAAAGGAUGUGGAGUUGCUUAGACAACUAGGAUGUUGGCUUAGAAGCAGCCACCAUUUAAAGAGUGCGUAAUAGCUCACUAGUCGAGUGACUCUGCGCCGAAAAUGUAUCGGGGCUAAAUACACCACCGAAACUGCGGAUUGAUACCUUUAGUAUCAGUGGUAGGGGAGCGUUCUAAGGACAGUGAAGUCAGACCGGAAGGACUGGUGGAGUGCUUAGAAGUGAGAAUGCCGGUAUGAGUAGCGAAAGACGGGUGAGAAUCCCGUCCACCGAAUGCCUAAGGUUUCCUGAGGAAGGCUCGUCCGCUCAGGGUUAGUCAGGACCUAAGCCGAGGCCGACAGGCGUAGGCGAUGGACAACAGGUUGAUAUUCCUGUACCACCUCUUUAUCGUUUGAGCAAUGGAGGGACGCAGAAGGAUAGAAGAAGCGUGCGAUUGGUUGUGUACGUCCAAGCAGUUAGGCUGAUAAGUAGGCAAAUCCGCUUAUCGUGAAGGUUGAGCUGUGAUGGGGAAGCUCCUUAUGGAGCGAAGUCUUUGAUUCCCCGCUGCCAAGAAAAGCUUCUAGCGAGAUAA